UUGUUAAGUUUUUUUGCCAAAUAGAAGCAAAAACUUAUGCUUUAGUUAAAUGUAUUAUGUGCUUUUUUUCAGAGUACAGUUUUAUAUAAUGUAUCUUUAAAAUCAAUUACUGGCAGAAUCUGAUUUUUUUUUCUUUUUCAAGGGAAAAAUUUAUACACAAAUGAAUAUGUGGCAAUUAAGUUGGAGCCCAUGAAAUCAAGAGCACCACAGCUACAUUUGGAAUACAGAUUCUAUAAGCAGUUAGGAUCUGGAG
This 253-nucleotide small RNA is filed under the name Pan troglodytes (chimpanzee). RNAcentral's name for it is "retained intron". Lineage: Eukaryota; Metazoa; Chordata; Mammalia; Primates; Hominidae. The record is from RNAcentral.